This 492-nucleotide ribosomal RNA is filed under the name uncultured bacterium. Its description in RNAcentral is "partial 16S ribosomal RNA". It matches the Rfam family "Bacterial small subunit ribosomal RNA", at positions 29 to 507 of the family's 1533-position model. The record is from RNAcentral.
AGUGAACGCUGGCGGUAGGCCUAACACAUGCAAGUCGAACGGCAGCACAGUAAGAGCUUGCUCUUACGGGUGGCGAGUGGCGGACGGGUGAGGAAUACAUCGGAAUCUACUUUUUCGUGGGGGAUAACGUAGGGAAACUUACGCUAAUACCGCAUACGACCUACGGGUGAAAGCAGGGGAUCUUCGGACCUUGCGCGAUUGAAUGAGCCGAUGUCGGAUUAGCUAGUUGGCGGGGUAAAGGCCCACCAAGGCGACGAUCCGUAGCUGGUCUGAGAGGAUGAGUAGGCAAACUGGAAAUGGGAAAAGGGCCAGAAUCCUACGGGGGGCAGCAGUGGGGAAUAUUGGACAAUGGGCGCAAGCCUGAUCCAGCCAUACCGCGUGGGUGAAGAAGGCCUUCGGGUUGUAAAGCCCUUUUGUUGGGAAAGAAAAGCAGCAGGUUAAUACCCCGCUGUUCUGACGGUACCCAAAGAAUAAGCACCGGCUAACUUCGUG